GAUGAACGCUGGCGGCGUGCUUAACACAUGCAAGUCGAACGAUGAAGCUCAGCUUGCUGGGUGGAUUAGUGGCGAACGGGUGAGUAACACGUGAGUAACCUGCCCUUAACUCUGGGAUAAGCCUGGGAAACUAGGUCUAAUACCGGAUAUGAGCGCCUACCGCAUGGUGGGUGUUGGAAAGAUUUAUCGGUUUUGGAUGGACUCGCGGCCUAUCAGCUUGUUGGUGAGGUAAUGGCUCACCAAGGCGACGACGGGUAGCCGGCCUGAGAGGGUGACCGGCCACACUGGGACUGAGACACGGCCCAGACUCCUACGGGAGGCAGCAGUGGGGAAUAUUGCACAAUGGGCGAAAGCCUGAUGCAGCGACGCCGCGUGAGGGAUGACGGCCUUCGGGUUGUAAACCUCUUUCAGUAGGGAAGAAGCGAAAGUGACGGUACCUGCAGAAGAAGCACCGGCUAACUACGUG
This 466-nucleotide ribosomal RNA is filed under the name uncultured bacterium. Its description in RNAcentral is "partial 16S ribosomal RNA". It matches the Rfam family "Bacterial small subunit ribosomal RNA", at positions 28 to 507 of the family's 1533-position model. The record is from RNAcentral.